Gorilla gorilla gorilla (western lowland gorilla) is the source of this 1072-nucleotide long non-coding RNA. RefSeq lists it as uncharacterized. The transcript has 3 exons. The record is from RefSeq and is a predicted model, not a curated record. Lineage: Eukaryota; Metazoa; Chordata; Mammalia; Primates; Hominidae.
GAAAGGUCUUCCCCACCCUGUCUCUCUGUGUCUUGUUUUCCUUGGUAAUGGAAGCAAUGGCAAUAUGGUUAGGAGGAGAGUGGCCUGCCAGGAUUUUAGCUUGCCUGGGAUCAACAGACAGUUUUUGACUUCAUAAUAUGCAGGGAGUCACUCCCUGAUGUCCAGGUUCCUGACAUUGGGUUUUCUUGUAUGACAUCUUUGUAUGACAACUCUCAAACUGUCAAUACCACAGGUUACUAGAAGAUUGCCAGUUUUCUAUUGUUUAGAGGGCCAUUUUGGGAUAAAGAUGAGUCUGAAUGAAUUCUUUUACCACCCAGCUUCCAUGUGCCAGGAUGUGCAUCUGAAGAAAAUGCCCUGUUUCAUCUCUCCGUCUGUCUCCAAAGUAACCUCCCAACAUCACCUGUGAUCAGGAUCAGGGCUGGACUGCUAGGAGACCUAGGUGUGUUUUCCCACUUCCCCCAGGAACGCAGCCAGAAAAAGCAAUGACAUCCAGGAGCCAUCUGGGAAUGCUUCCCAGACCUGCUCUAAAUUGGGGCACAGAGCCAGCUGCACACUCCUGAGCUUUGGAGUUCACCUGGAUUAGACUCACUGCAGAGGGGUUUAUCAUCAAGGAUGAUUUAUCUGGGGUCCCAGCUCUCCAGCUUUUGAAGGCAGAUGUCAACGGAACAUAACAGGAUGUCAGCCUCCUAGGACAUACAGCAGGGUAGAGAAUAGAGGGCUAGCAGAAACCACUCCACAGAAGAGCCACGCGUUAUUACGAUUUUAGGCUCCUGGGCUUGGAUACUUUUUUUUUUAAGGUCUCACACUAUGAAAAGCCAAUUAUGCCUGUUAUAGAUGGCCAAAGAGAAGAAAUCAAUUGAAGAACAACUCACACUCCGUGUUACAAGAAUAAAAUGCAUUAUUGGUCCUCAGUUUUUUGCCAAAUCAAGAAAUCCAGAAGUAAUUCAAAGUCAGGGCAUCAUCAUCAUCGUCAUUAAAAAUAUAAAUGUUCUCUACUUUUGCCAGGACUAAGCAAUUAACUAAAUUGAAUGUGUAUAUUUCCUCCCAUUGUCCUCACCACAACCCUAUAAUG